UGUUUGCCUGGUCCUAAACCCUCCCUUAGAAUAUGCAUUAAGCUCCAGCCAGUACUGCCUCGCCAGGUGGUCUAUCUUUGCUGGAGGACCUUAGGACUGGCCUGUCUAGAACUGGCGGGGAAGAGGAGGAAAGGUCAUGAUCGCUACUUACAGAUAUCUCACCUCAAAUUAAAGCUGCUAAUAUAACUUGACAGAAGGGCCACAAACCUCAGGGAGACUGCAGGUUCAUGAGGGAGAAAUCAAGGAGAAGCAUUUAACAUUGCUACUAAUUUAGUUGUAGGACAAAGUUCCCAGACACCUUUGUGACUAGGGGCAGGUGGAUGGGACUGCCACCGUUGAAGGCUAUCCACUCUGUAACAAGACAUGUAUUAAAGGUGUUAGCAGCUUUUGCACUAAUGCUUCUGAAAACCCUCACAGAGGUACAAAGGCAUUAAACAACUGGGACAACUCUGCAACUUGCACUGGCUUCAAAAGUCUGGGAGAGAAAGAUGUGUGAAGAAGGAAGCUGCCAAGUUCCUAAAUGGGAGCUGUGACUUUAGGCAAUAAAAUUCCACUUCUCCCUUUUUGAAUCUCCUGCCUUGCAAGGUAAAUUCAAAGGAUUGGCAGUGGAUUUUGAAAACUGUUGUGUAGAAAGAGGAAAAAAUACAGCCGUAAUCCAAAGCAAGGAAAUUCAGACACCAAACUGUGCUCUUAAUGGAGAAGUAAUGAAUGUUAAUUAACCACCAAUUGACAAAAAAACAUAUUUACUGUAGUUUAACAGCUCUGCAAA
This is a long non-coding RNA of Chiroxiphia lanceolata (lance-tailed manakin), 769 nucleotides long. RefSeq lists it as uncharacterized. The transcript is spliced from 5 exons. NCBI's taxonomy places the organism in Eukaryota, Metazoa, Chordata, Aves, Passeriformes, Pipridae. The record is from RefSeq and is a predicted model, not a curated record.